CUUAAGUCACCAGUGCUAUUACACAUGACAUUGGGAAAACUGAGGCUUCCAUUAGCCCUGCAGGGACACAGUUGGGAUCUUCACACCUAGCCAUCUUCUCUACUGUUUUGAAAAAUUAUUGCAAAAGUUUUCAAACAUGCAAAAGGAUAUAAUAUAAUGAACACCUAGACCCAUCACUCAGCACCUCAUUGGAAGUUACCAAGAUUGUAAUCUGUUACUUUUCCCUACCCCACCCUCCAUUUUUUUUCUUUUACUUUUCUCUUUUUUUGAGACCGAGUCGCACUCUGUUGCUCAAAUUAGAGUGCAGGAGUGCAAUUCCAGCCUGGGCAACAAGAGCAAAACUCCAUCUCAAUCAAUCAAUCAAUCAAUCAAUCAAUAACAAAUCUCAGACCACAUGUUGUUUUAGCCUAUUUCAGUUUGCAUUUCUAAAAAUUAUGGAUAAUUUUCUCAUAUAAACACAGUCUAUUAUCACUUCCCAACUCCCCCUUCGAAUUAAUAAUUCCCGAAGAUCCAAUGCCCAGUCUCUAACCACAUUUCCAUGACUCAAGUGUCUUUUGUAUAGCUGGUGGGUUUCAAUCCAGAUCUAACCAAGAUCCACACAUUCAUCUGAUAGCGCUAUCUCUUAAAUCUCUUCUCAUCGAGAGCACCUGACU
RNAcentral lists this non-coding RNA (653 nucleotides) under Pongo abelii (Sumatran orangutan). Lineage: Eukaryota; Metazoa; Chordata; Mammalia; Primates; Hominidae. The record is from RNAcentral.